UGAAGCCCACAAGUUCAGCAGCAG
RNAcentral lists this non-coding RNA (24 nucleotides) under Mus musculus (house mouse). Lineage: Eukaryota; Metazoa; Chordata; Mammalia; Rodentia; Muridae. The record is from RNAcentral.